CUGGGACACCCGGGAGAAGUUCGGGGUUCAAGUGCGCGCCUGGGUCUGUGCACAUCUUUUAACCUUCCUCGGCCUCCCUAGAGUUUCUGCACUGACCAUCUGCUACCUCAAGUGUCAUCAACUGGCUUGCAGUAAAGGAGUGAUGUGAUAAGAUUUUGUUUUAUUACAAUAACUCCAAGAGCCACUUGCGGGGGAAGAAAGCUAAUGGAACUCGAGAGCAGGUGAAAUGGGAGGCUAUGUGCAAGUUCUAAGAGAAUAAAAUUUGUUUUCUAAUGUUGCC
Long non-coding RNA from Cercocebus atys (sooty mangabey), 280 nucleotides. RefSeq lists it as uncharacterized. The record is from RefSeq and is a predicted model, not a curated record. Lineage: Eukaryota; Metazoa; Chordata; Mammalia; Primates; Cercopithecidae. The transcript has 4 exons.